AUUCAGCUUUUAUGCUGAUUCAUCAGCUCACAGUGAAACGAGCUUGCAUGAGAGCAUCCCAGGACCACUGAACAUUCAGAGGGCUGGAGGCAGAGAAAAACUUCCCCUACUCAAGAAAAAGAAGCUAUUUUUGUCAAGUUAAAUGAGCCUGAACCUGCAGAGCUGAAUUGGCAGAUGAAUAUUGCUAAUUGGUGCAGUUUCUUCGGUGCAGGAAAGAGUUUCCAAUCAGACCGGCAAUUCAUUGGCCACAUGAAGACUCAGCCUGCCUGCACCCAGGUGAAAUAAACAGCAUUUUUGCUCACACAUAGCCUGUUUGGUGGUCUCUUCACAUGGAUGCGCAUGAAAUUUGGUGCUGUGACUCGGAUCCGGAGACCUCCCUUGGGAGAUAAAAUCCCCUGUCCUCCUGCUCUUUGCUCCGUGAAAAAGAUCCACCUACGACCUCAAGUCCUCAGACCCACCAGCCCAAGGAACAUCUCACCAAUUUUAAAUCAGCAAAAUGACAUGAAUGACUGAAAAAGCAUGUGGAGCACAAGACUCAAGAACUAAGUGAAAGGACUCACACUUCCUGAUUUCAAGUAAAGCUACAGCAAUCAAGACGUGGCAUUGAUGUAAGAAUAGACACAUCAAUGAAUGAAACAGAAUACAUCUUCCAGAAAUAAAUUCACACAAAUAUAGUCAAGAGGUUUUUUGUGUGCUAAAGUGUAUAUAAUAUUUACCAUUUUAACCAUUUUUAAGUGCACAGUUCAGAAGCAUUAAGAAUAAACAAUGUUGUAUAACCAUCACCAUUAUCCAGUUCCAGAAUUUUUCAUCACCUCACACAGAAACUCUGUACCUAUUAUCAACAAUAAAUUUUCAUUCCCCCCUUGCCCUCAGUCUCUGGUAACCACUAUUGAACUUUCUGUUUCUAUGAAUUUGCCCCUUCUCAGUGCCUAAUAUGAGUGGAAUAAUACAAUAUGGGUCCUUUGUGCCUAGUUUAUUUCACUUACUGUAAUGUUUUCAAGGUUCAUCCAUGUUAUAAUAUGGAUCAGAAUUUUAUUUCUUUUCAAGCAUGAAUAAUAGUCCAUGGUAUGUCUAUACCACAUUGUUUAUCCAUUCAUCAGCUGAUGGAUAUUUGGGGGUUGUUUCUAUCUUUUGGCUAUUGUAAAUGAUGAUGUUAUGAACAAUGGUGUAUAAUGUCUGUUUGAGCACUGCUUUGAAUUGUUUGGGGUAUAUACUUAGGAGCGGAAUUACUGGAUCAUAUGUCAAUUCUAUGUUUAAUUUUUGAGGAACUGUCGAGCUGUCUUUCACAGCAGCUGCAUAAUUUUACAUUCCCACCACAAUGCAUAAGAGCUUCAGUUUCUCAAAAUCUUUACCAACAUUUAUUUUUCUUUUUAAAAAUAUAUAAUAGCCAUACUAAUAGUAUAAAGUAAUAUUUCAUUGUGCAUUUGAUUUGCAUUUCCCUAAUGAUAACUGAUGUUGAGCAUCUUUUCACGUGCUUGUUGACCAUUUGUAUAUCUUCUUUUGAGAUAUGUCUAAUCAAGUCCUUUGUCCAUUUUUUAAUUGGGCUGGGUAUUAUUCUUCUGUUAUUGUUGAGUUGCAGGAGUUCUUUAUAUAUUCUGCAUAAAAGUUCCUUAUCAUAUAUUGAUUUUCAAAAUCUCUCUCCUAUUCUAUGGGUUGUUUUGAUUUUUUUUUUUUUUUUGCUUUCUCAACAG
Molecule: long non-coding RNA, 1691 nt
Organism: Homo sapiens (human)
Lineage: Eukaryota; Metazoa; Chordata; Mammalia; Primates; Hominidae
Product: long intergenic non-protein coding RNA 836
Source: Ensembl